GCCACCUUAGCUCAGUUGGUAGAGCACGUCACUCGUAAUGACGAGGUCGUCGGUUCAAUUCCGACAGGUGGCU
This 73-nucleotide transfer RNA is filed under the name Gemmatimonadota bacterium. Its description in RNAcentral is "Gemmatimonadetes bacterium tRNA-Thr". It matches the Rfam family "tRNA". Rfam says of the family: Transfer RNA (tRNA) molecules are approximately 80 nucleotides in length. RNAcentral also lists the same sequence under 1 other name. The record is from RNAcentral. Lineage: Bacteria; Pseudomonadati; Gemmatimonadota.